ACACGAAUACACGCAUACGGAUCCACACGCACACACACACACACACAUACCUGCUCGGCGCUGCUGCGCAGCCUUUGCAUGCUCGCUCGCGGAUGCGUUCUGAGGUGGCAUGCGGUCUCUGCGCGACACGUGCUCGGCCUUCACGAUGGGCAGUCGUACACACCAGCUGAUAUCAAGAAGGCGUUUCGCGAAAGAGCUCUGACCGCCCACCCCGACGCUGGCGGCGACGCCGACGGCUUUCGACAGCUUCAGAGAGCUUAUGAGGUGCUACUGCACGAGCACAGCGUGGAAAAGAAGGUCAGCGAGGCAGCAGCCGCCAGCGACGACAGUGGAGGCGGCAGCGGCUUCUGCGCCCGCCCGCAUGCAGAGUGGAGCGAUGACAUGCGCUCGCAACGCGCCUAUUGGCGCGACAUGUAUACCGAAAUGAACAUGAACCCAAACAGCUGUGAAAGCCGCCGGCACGCGUCAAACACGCAUUACGAGGCACGCCAACAUUACCGCACCUACGGCGAAGGACUAGGAGAGGAUUUCCAGCAAGAAUUUAAGUCAUCGUCGUUCGCCGGCGACGGGCAGCGGGGCAGCCAGACGAACUUCUCCACCUGGUACUUCUACCGUCCAUACUACUCGAACUACCGAAACCCCUACGGCACAGGGUUCACUCCCGAGGAAAUUCGCCGAGCAGAGCAGGAGCAGCGCCGCGGCUUCGUGCGUGCAGUGGCGCGGCACGCCUGCCUGUGGUCCGGCCUGGCCUUCGUGGUCUACCUGCACGAGCGCAACAAUCGCGUUUGGCGCGCGGUGGAGGCCCGGGACAAGGGCUAUAAAGAUCCGGAGUACUGGGAACAGCUACGAAAAGAUGAAGAGGAGGCACGUCGAAGGAGCCGGGCACCGCUGCGGCUGGAGCAACACUGGUUAGACCCCCCGCUGAUGAGGCCUUUGAUGGAUCUCACCGAGGGUGGUCACAGCGGCGGCUGCGGCAAAAAUGGCCAAGGGGCAGAGGACGACAUUUCUGGUGCUGCCAGAGCGGGCACGGCGUGGGCAACACAUCAAGCCAGGAUGGCGCAGGAGCGACGGAAGCAAGCCAUGAGUUUGACGCGUGGGAUGCGACGGGGUGCGAGCGGAGACGUGGGCGGGCCUCGUGUGGUGAGCUACCAAGGGCGGCCCUUUACUCCAAAUGGAGUGCGAGGCAUGCGCAACACGGCACCCAAGACACCGAAAACGUACGCUGACGACGUUACAUACGAGAUGAACGAAGACGACGACGACUUAUAGGUGGCCGCCGUCUAUGGGGUUGGGAGAACGGCGCCGGUGUAAGUGGCCUGUCCGCUCCGCCACGACAGCCCCCUCCCACUCCGAAACCUUUUUUUUUGCCUUUUUUCGGAUUUGUCUGUCUGCCUGUGUGUCUGUGCGUAUGUUUGCCUCCCCCCCCCAUCAUCAUAUGGUUCCUUUUGUUUCACUGGCGUUCUGUCUUGCCUGCAUCCUUGCUUUUUCGACUAGUAGCAGUAGCAGUAGCAGUAGUAGGAUUAGGCAUUCAUCGUUGGGCCUCUCUGCCUUCUUUCCCAUCUUUUCCCUUACCGACGAAUCGCGGCGUCUUUCACAACCGUGACCACCACUGCUUAUAGAUGGUGUCAACACAUAUUUCGUGCGUUGCCAUCUCUCCCUCUCUACCUUCUCCUCCCCCUCCCCCUCCGCCUCAUCCACCCAACAACAAAAAACAGGAAAGGCUUGCUUGAUAUGCGCUGCUUCAUAGAGCGGGAACCUCGAACACGCACACGCCGUCACACGAUGAAUCAUGUUCUGCUGUGGGCAAUCCCGUACGCCCUCGUUCAGUCCUCCUCCUCUUCCUCUUUUUUUUUCUUUUUACCCUUGCACGUGUGGAAG
This 1878-nucleotide unclassified non-coding RNA is filed under the name Leishmania donovani. RNAcentral's name for it is "gene:LdHU3.29.2880(CDS-product:DnaJ_domain_contai ning_protein_putative)". Lineage: Eukaryota; Euglenozoa; Kinetoplastea; Trypanosomatida; Trypanosomatidae. The record is from RNAcentral.